RNA transcript from Aedes albopictus (Asian tiger mosquito), 3589 nucleotides. RefSeq lists it as uncharacterized. Lineage: Eukaryota; Metazoa; Arthropoda; Insecta; Diptera; Culicidae. The record is from RefSeq and is a predicted model, not a curated record. The transcript is spliced from 4 exons.
GAUGUCGAUCGUUACGCCUAUUUCACAUGUUGGUCUAGAAAUUUCAAAAAGUGUACGAGUUUGGGAACACUGGUUGCUAUAAAGUUGUGUUUUGUUUUUUUUUCCUUUCACUCCGAUUUUUUCUCAGUUGAAAGAAAAAUCAAUCUUGGCUUUUCCUCUGAUAAAUCGUACUUUUCUGAAGAUUCUCAGCUCGUUGAUUCGAACAGCAAGUUUGUGAAACACCUAUCAUGACUCAGGAUUUGCAUCCGUCGUGGAAUUUGGCUCACCUGAACACGACCGUGGAAAUGCCCGAUGAGGGCAAGUGGUGUCGUGCCCAGAACAGCCGCUCGUCCGUUGUCUUACUGUGGAUAAAGCAGAAGACUGAUAGGAGGCUGCGACGGGAAAGCAAGGAGACGUUUUUUAUGGACAUGGAAGAUGCGCUCUAUGCCGUUGCCAAGAUAUGGAGCGUACCAGAUCCGUGCGGAUAUGGGGUCAUGCGGGUGGGCGAGUUGGCUAAGGAGGACAGGGGAGUGCGUCCCGCUAUUUUCUACAGUAGUCGGCGAUAUGCUUCGUCGGAAGCGGUUGCCAGCCUUUGGUUCAGCGAUGACGACCAUGCCGCAGAUCCGAUACUUGUUCAGCGCCAUCAGGUGACAGAAUGGUUCAAAGCUUCGGAGGUGACUUACAUAUACGAAUGUGACUCUGCUGGUGAAUAUCUGCUAAAAUGCGGCGAAGACGACAAAGACUACCAUUUGGCCGCGUGUGCCCCAGGUGAGAAACUUCCGAUCGAUGACCAGUUGAGUCUCGCAAUUGCCGAUCCGGUGAAAGAGGCCUUCAAUUGGCAUUGUGCGCAGUUGAACCUAAACUGUGCGAAGCUGAUUAUGCCUCCCGGAGACAUUGCCGACCGACUGAUGGUGUGCGGUCAGCUGGAUUGGGUUAUGACCUUGGUUCUGGAUGCCAUCGGAAGGGACUCGUUGCCACAGCCGCUUUAUAUGCAACUGUUCCGUGGGGACAUUCUGACCGGGACCAUCUUCCGGCGGUUUCUUCUGGCGCAAAGGAUUUUGAGAAAGGCCGGAGUUAAUCCUCAGUCACGACCUGCCCUUCCGGAUUGCAGCACCCAUCGACUGUGGGCCCUGUGGGAUAAGAUAAUGGAUCUAACGGUGACGUUGGUGGAAAGGCAAGGCGAGAGGACCAACGCAGUUAUUGAAACGUUCUUUCGAAGCAUCCUGGAUGGCCAGUAUAAGUAUCCCGAUCUGCUGCUCUCCGCGCUAACUCUAUCCCCCAACUGCCCCAAUGCGUACGACUUACUAAAAGCUGACUGGGGCAAGUUCAACGACCACGCUUUCCUGGAAGAGUCCAUCGUAAUGCACGCUGUCCGAAUACUGCAAAGUGAUAGGAGACCACUACGGCAACCGACGACGAAUUUCCUGGUCGAACUAGUCGUAGGAACGCCCACAGUGCAACAUUGGCUAAAACCGACUAUCCAGUUGAACCUGCUUAACCAUCUUGAAGCGGAUACAGAGCCUCGUUAUAUUACUCAAACUCUCUACUUGCAAUCGCUUUUGGAAAGAAAGUCAACUGAUGCCGAUUCUGCGCCACCACAGACGCUAACCACAAGAUGUGUCGAGCUCCUGAACCACCAGGACCCGGAAGUGCGCCUGUGGUCGGCUCUAUUGGCGAAGAAACUGUCCGCAGAAAAGUGUCCAACUUUGCAAACUCGUUUGGAAGAACUUUCAACCGAUGCCGAUCCCAAAGUCCGCGCUGCAGCAGUAGAAGCUUGGAACACAUCGUACGGUCAACAAACGGAAACGGAACAGAAAGAUAUUCUCAUCGCCAAACUACUGCCCGUGGCGAACGCUAACUCGAGUGCCUUCGUCCGCCGGGAGCUUGCUUAUGCUCUGAACGUGAUCGCAGCUGAUCGAACACCGGAAUUGAUCUCGCUAUGCAAACAGGAAACAUCCAAACCGCCAGAAUCAUCAAAAUCCAAGGGAAAAGCAAAGUCCAAGAAGGGAUCAACCUCGGCGUCAACAUCCAAGUCGUCGGAUUCGGUCCUGGCCAAAGCGUGGCGCCUCAUGGUUGCCUUGCAAACCGACCCCGAUGCGGAAGUGGCCACCGGCAUGCAAUCCGUAGUGGCAUUUGUCAGAGGGUGCGUGGCCCAGCAGGAAGCAGCCGCUGCAGGUGGAAAGCGAAAGAAAAAGGCCCCCGUCGCUGGUAGUUGUCCACUCGCGGAGAGGGUGCCCCUGCAGCGUCGAUUGUGUCACACGCUUGUGGAGAUCGAUGAAGCCGUCGGCGGUGAGGAAUCAAAAGAGAACGAUCCCCAGGAGCUGAACGUCGUCAGCCUACCCGUAGGACCGCGCAAUCCCGCGUUGCCCCUGCUGAAUCAUCAGUUGAGAAGUUUGAAGGUGAAGGAGGCACCGGAAAUGGUUUGGUUCGGAAUUAGUCGGCAGAUGUUUACCGUUUUCAAAGACCACGUUACUUGGCAAGACCUUACUGAAGACACCGGCAAACCCCAUAUUCUGAAGCGUCCACUGGUACCUGGAUCACUGUUCAAAGUCACCGCCCUGCUGCCUGGCAUUCCUCUUCUCCCGCCAUCUCUUCUGAUCGGCUACAACGAUGGAUCAAUCCGUUUGUGGCAAAUCCAAACCCCCCAAACCGAACCGACCCUGGUGACCACCUGGCAAGGACUUCACGACUGCGGCGAUAUCAGUCCAUCCGCUAAAACACACGGCAUUUCGAUGACCUCCAUUGGGGAUCGAAAGCUGAUCAUCGGCGGUGACGCAAAGUACCUGCGUCAGUGGGAUCUGGUCACCGAAUUGGCCUUGGGAGAUGUGCCCGUAGGAACCGAUCAGGCCGUAACGGCCCUGGCCAGCAACGGCGUGUACAACAUCGCUGCCGGAUUGGAAGGCGGAACCGUUCGGUUGUUUGACACGCGAGCCGAAGCGGAAGGGAAAGUGGCCGUUGGACCGAAGCACUCGAACCCGGUCCGGGCGGUCAGUCUUCGCGCGGAUAAUCUGAAUAUGAUUAGUGUGUGCCGCGGGGGCAAUGUCCACCUGGUUGAUUUGCGUAAAAUGAUUCCGGCGGUGAAGAAGUGGUCCUGGUCAGGAGUUCCGGCGGAUGUGGCCAUUCACCCGAUUUUGGAUUUGAUGGCUUUUGGAGCGGCGCAGUCGCUGGAGGUUUACUCGACCGGUGGCGAACAACAGUGCGGUUCAGAGGAAGGAGCGGUGUGCGUAGAUUUCCACCCGACGGAAGCAGUGCUGGCGGCCGGAAAUGCUCGGAACAAAGUCGUGCAGCUCUACGGAGAGUGGGCCGAAUGAUUGGUGGGUAGGUAAGCCACAAAGUUGAUUGGAAUUCUUUCAACUGAUUUUAAUCCUUCUCCUUACGAUAAUAUACAUAACUGACUUGUUUUUAUUCUUCAUUCAAAGAUAGUUUUUUGUCGAUUACAGUUAGAGAUUGCAUAGCCUAAUCAGACAGAAUUUUAUUUGGGAUAAUAUUACAUAUAUACAGGCGAGUUGAACUUACGCAUAACACACACAUUUUUGUUCCUUUUUUUUACUAUGUGUGUCUUCAUUUGUUUCAAUAAUCCCUGCUGCCAUUUUAUUCACCUAAAAUUUCA